CCUACGGGUGGCAGCAGUGGGGAAUAUUGCUCAAUGGGGGAAACCCUGAUGCAGCGACGCCGCGUGAAGGAAGAAGGAUUUCGGUAUGUAAACUUCUUUUAGUAGGGAAGAAAAUGACGGUACCUGACUAAGAAGCACCGGCUAACUACGUGCCAGCAGCCGCGGUAAUACGGAGGGGGCAAGCGUUAUCCGGAUUCACUGGGCGUAAAGGGCGCGUAGGCGGUUCAGCAAGUCAGAAGUGAAAGCCCGGGGCUCAACCCCAGGACUGCUUUUGAAACUGUUGAACUAGAUUGCAGGAGAGGUAAGUGGAAUUCCUGGUGUAGCGGUGAAAUGCGUAGAUAUUAGGAGGAACACCAGUUGCGAAGGCGGCUUACUGGACUGUAACUGACGCUGAGGCACGAAAGCGUGGGGAGCAAACAGGAUUAGAUACCCUGGUAGUC
RNAcentral lists this ribosomal RNA (440 nucleotides) under uncultured bacterium. RNAcentral's name for it is "partial 16S ribosomal RNA". It matches the Rfam family "Bacterial small subunit ribosomal RNA", at positions 338 to 795 of the family's 1533-position model. The record is from RNAcentral.